CUUCCGUAGGUGAACCUGCGGAAGGAUCAUUACCGUGGGGGCCCCUCUAGGGGCCCCUGCCGAGAUAGAACCCUCUGAAUUUUCGAGCACCCACUGUUUCCUCGGCGGGCCCGCCCGCCAACGGGGACCAAACCAAAACCGUAAACCGCAGUACAGUAGUGAAAAACGUACCAAAAACAAAUCAAUCAAAACUUUCAACAACGGAUCUCUUGGUUCUGGCAUCGAUGAAGAACGCAGCGAAAUGCGAUAAGUAGUGUGAAUUGCAGAAUUCCGUGAAUCAUCGAAUCUUUGAACGCACAUUGCGCCCUUUGGUAUUCCUUAGGGCAUGCCUGUUCGAGCGUCAUAUAACCCCUCAAGCAUAGCUUGUUGUUGGGCGCUUGUCCUCCCCUGGUGGAGGACUCGCCUCGAAUCGAUUGGCGGCCCACGCGGAGGGCUAUCGAGCGCAGCAGACUCGCGCCUCAAACCCCCCGCGCCGGCGUCCACUGAGCACACAACCACUUUGACCUCGGAUCAGGUAGGGAUACCCGCUGAACUUAAGCAUAUCAAUAAGCGGAGGAA
This 558-nucleotide ribosomal RNA is filed under the name Tetraploa sasicola. RNAcentral's name for it is "eukaryotic LSU rRNA". The stretch from base 190 to 343 matches the Rfam family "5.8S ribosomal RNA". Lineage: Eukaryota; Fungi; Ascomycota; Dothideomycetes; Pleosporales; Tetraplosphaeriaceae. The record is from RNAcentral.